GAGGGCAAGUCUGGUGCCAGCAGCCGCGGUAAUUCCAGCACCAAUAGCGUAUAUUAAAAUUGUUGCAGUUAAAAAGCUCGUAGUUGAAUUUCUGCUGCAUCGCCUUUUCUCCUUUACGAGUUUUGGCAUUGUGGCUUAUUUCGGAUUUACUUGCAUUUCCGAAUGUUUACUUUGAGAAAAUUAGAGUGCUCAAAGCAGGCUUUUGCCUUGAAUAGUUUAGCAUGGAAUAAUAAAGUAGGACUUUGGUUCUAUUUUGUUGGUUUUAGGUACCAAAGUAAUGGUUAAUAGGAACAGUUGGGGGCAUUCGUAUUUAACUGUCAGAGGUGAAAUUCUUAGAUUUGUUAAAGACGAACUACUGCGAAAGCAUUUGCCAAGGAUGUUUUCAUUAAUCAAGAACGAAAGUUAGGGGAUCGAAGACGAUCAGAUACCGUCGUAGUCCUAACCAUAAACUAUGCCGACUAGAGAUUGGAGGUCGUCAGUUUUUACGACUCCUUCAGCACCUUGAGAG
Molecule: ribosomal RNA, 508 nt
Filed under: Theileria cervi
Lineage: Eukaryota; Apicomplexa; Aconoidasida; Piroplasmida; Theileriidae
Description: SSU rRNA
Rfam family: Eukaryotic small subunit ribosomal RNA
Source: RNAcentral